CUUUCUUUGCUGGCGACCGGCGCACGGGUGAGUAACACGUAUCCAACCUGCCCUUUACUCGGGGAUAGCCUUUCGGAAGAAAGAUUAAUACCCGAUAGCAUAAUGAUUCCGCAUGGUUUCAUUAUUAAAGGAUUCCGGUAAAGGAUGGGGAUGCGUUCCAUUAGGUUGUUGGUGAGGUAACGGCCCACCAAGCCUUCGAUGGAUAGGGGUUCUGAGAGGAAGGUCCCCCACAUUGGAACUGAGACACGGUCCAA
This 254-nucleotide ribosomal RNA is filed under the name uncultured bacterium. RNAcentral describes it as "partial 16S ribosomal RNA". It matches the Rfam family "Bacterial small subunit ribosomal RNA", at positions 79 to 334 of the family's 1533-position model. The record is from RNAcentral.